Molecule: long non-coding RNA, 413 nt
Organism: Nannospalax galili (Upper Galilee mountains blind mole rat)
Lineage: Eukaryota; Metazoa; Chordata; Mammalia; Rodentia; Spalacidae
Exons: 5
Source: RefSeq, a predicted model, not a curated record
UGUGUGCAUCACAUUCUGUUCAUAAGGAAGCUUCGAUGCUUUCAUAGAAAAUUUUGAAAUUCUGAGAUCUAAUCUUCAUGGAGAAGGCUUCCAGGUCAGUUCCAGCUCCAUUGCUCCAAGUCCUGUGUCUGUCAUGUAUUCAGCAAGAGAGCCUUAUGUUCAAGUUCUGAGAGUAAAAAGAAUAAGAUGCUGGAGAUAUGGCUCAGAGUUUAUAAGCACCAACUCAAGUUGCAGAGGACUCCAGUAUGAUUGCCAGCACCCAGGUUAUAAAUGGUAAAUAACUGGUGUACCUCACACAUAUGGUGAAAUGCUCUACUAAAUGGAGGGAAGAAGGACGUAUUUAGAAAAACAAGCUCAUUUUGAGAAAGUUGUUUCCCUCCAUUUACUCUGAAACAUGUCUUCUUCCAUUUACU